Molecule: long non-coding RNA, 360 nt
Organism: Pieris rapae (cabbage white)
Lineage: Eukaryota; Metazoa; Arthropoda; Insecta; Lepidoptera; Pieridae
Exons: 3
Source: RefSeq, a predicted model, not a curated record
UGUGUGCAGUUGUCUUCGUAUAGACUUGAAGUGAAGUGUUUAUUUAUAUAGUUUUUAUUUAAUUUAUUGGAUCAGCUUACUUAAAGAUUUAACAAUUAUUUGAUUAUGGCAACGUCACGUCAUUUCAAGAUCGUAUUAUUACUAUUUCUAAUGUGUACUAAAAGUGUACUUGGUCUGGACAGGUUAGAAAAUCUCUCAAUAAACAACAAUGGAUUAGGACAGUAUAGUUUUGAGUUUCAAACGUCGGAUGGAACGCAUAGAAAGGAAGAUGGUGGAUUAUUUCCUCGCAAUGGUGGCUUUAAUUAUGCAGUGAGAGGUGAAUACGAUUUCAUAGAUCCGCAGGGAUUUCACCAUUCUUUG